RNAcentral lists this ribosomal RNA (497 nucleotides) under uncultured bacterium. RNAcentral describes it as "partial 16S ribosomal RNA". It matches the Rfam family "Bacterial small subunit ribosomal RNA", at positions 28 to 507 of the family's 1533-position model. The record is from RNAcentral.
GAUGAACGCUGGCGGCGUGCCUAAUACAUGCAAGUCGAGCGAACGGACGAGAAGCUUGCUUCUCUGAUGUUAGCGGCGGACGGGUGAGUAACACGUGGAUAACCUACCUAUAAGACUGGGAUAACUUCGGGAAACCGGAGCUAAUACCGGAUAAUAUUUUGAACCGCAUGGUUCAAAAGUGAAAGACGGUCUUGCUGUCACUUAUAGAUGGAUCCGCGCUGCAUUAGCUAGUUGGUAAGGUAACGGCUUACCAAGGCAACGAUGCAUAGCCGACCUGAGAGGGUGAUCGGCCACACUGGACCUGAGACACGGUCCAGACUCCUACGGGAGGCAGCAGUAGGGAAUCUUCCGCAAUGGGCGAAAGCCUGACGGAGCAACGCCGCGUGAGUGAUGAAGGUCUUCGGAUCGUAAAACUCUGUUAUUAGGGAAGAACAUAUGUGUAAGUAACUGUGCACAUCUUGACGGUACCUAAUCAGAAAGCCACGGCUAACUACGUG